Molecule: long non-coding RNA, 208 nt
Filed under: Brassica napus (rape)
Lineage: Eukaryota; Viridiplantae; Streptophyta; Magnoliopsida; Brassicales; Brassicaceae
Description: long non-coding RNA (BNAP_LNC015965)
Source: RNAcentral
CCAGGAGAUCAGGUGGAUCUCUCUCUCCAUCAACAUUCCAUAUAUGACCACAAUUACACUAAAUGCUUUGGAGGAGUUUCUACAGAUUUUUGCCCAAGACCAACGGCCAUAUUCUCUUCUAUUAAGACCAAGGAGUAUUUCAGGAAGGCUUGAAGAUCAUGGCCACGUCCAGAAGCUGUCCAGAUACAAGAUCAUCCAAGUUAUCCUU